GCACCCAUGCAGGGGUACGGAAGAUGUCCACGGCACGCCGCGGGCCUUCCGUUGAGAGGGCGGUGCCGCCCAACCCUUCGAACCUGUCAGCUAACACUGUCGUAGGGAGCAUGCCCACCAGCAUA
RNAcentral lists this non-coding RNA (125 nucleotides) under Adlercreutzia caecimuris. Its description in RNAcentral is "Enterorhabdus caecimuris TPP sequence". It matches the Rfam family "TPP riboswitch aptamer (THI element)". Rfam says of the family: Vitamin B(1) in its active form thiamin pyrophosphate (TPP) is an essential coenzyme that is synthesised by coupling of pyrimidine and thiazole moieties in bacteria. Lineage: Bacteria; Bacillati; Actinomycetota; Coriobacteriia; Eggerthellales; Eggerthellaceae. RNAcentral also lists the same sequence under 1 other name. The record is from RNAcentral.